CCUACGGGCGGCAGCAGUGGGGAAUAUUGGACAAUGGGCGAAAGCCUGAUCCAGCCAUGCCGCGUGUGUGAAGAAGGCCUUCGGGUUGUAAAGCACUUUCAGUGGGGAAGAAAGCCUUGGGGCUAAUACCCUCGAGGAAGGACAUCACCCACAGAAGAGGCACCGGCUAACUCCGUGCCAGCAGCCGCGGUAAUACGGAGGGUGCGAGCGUUAAUCGGAAUUACUGGGCGUAAAGCGCGCGUAGGCGGUCUGAUAAGCCGGUUGUGAAAGCCCCGGGCUCAACCUGGGAACGGCAUCCGGAACUGUCAGGCUAGAGUGCAGGAGAGGAAGGUAGAAUUCCCGGUGUAGCGGUGAAAUGCGUAGAGAUCGGGAGGAAUACCAGUGGCGAAGGCGGCCUUCUGGACUGACACUGACGCUGAGGUGCGAAAGCGUGGGUAGCAAACAGGAUUAGAUACCCCAGUAGUC
Molecule: ribosomal RNA, 465 nt
Filed under: Vreelandella stevensii
Lineage: Bacteria; Pseudomonadati; Pseudomonadota; Gammaproteobacteria; Oceanospirillales; Halomonadaceae
Description: partial 16S ribosomal RNA
Rfam family: Bacterial small subunit ribosomal RNA
Source: RNAcentral